UGCAAGUCGAGCGGUAACAGAUCUAGCUUGCUAGGAUGCUGACGAGCGGCGGACGGGUGAGUAAUGCAUAGGAAUCUGCCCGAUAGUGGGGGAUAACCUGGGGAAACCCAGGCUAAUACCGCAUACGUCCUACGGGAGAAAGGGGGCUCCGGCUCCCGCUAUGGGAUGAGCCUAUGUCGGAUUAGCUAGUUGGUGAGGUAACGGCUCACCAAGGCCACGAUCCGUAGCUGGUCUGAGAGGAUGAUCAGCCACAUCGGGACUGAGACACGGCCCGAACUCCUACGGGAGGCAGCAGUGGGGAAUAUUGGACAAUGGGGGAAACCCUGAUCCAGCCAUGCCGCGUGUGUGAAGAAGGCCCUCGGGUUGUAAAGCACUUUCAGCGAGGAAGAACGCCUAGCGGUUAAUACCCGCUAGGAAAGACAUCACUCGCAGAAGAAGCACCGGCUAACUCCGUGCCAGCAGCCGCGGUAAUACGGAGGGUGCAAGCGUUAAUCGGAAUUACUGGGCGUAAAGCGCGCGUAGGUGGCUUGAUAAGCCGGUUGUGAAAGCCCCGGGCUCAACCUGGGAACGGCAUCCGGAACUGUCAAGCUAGAGUGCAGGAGAGGAAGGUAGAAUUCCCGGUGUAGCGGUGAAAUGCGUAGAGAUCGGGA
RNAcentral lists this ribosomal RNA (650 nucleotides) under uncultured bacterium. RNAcentral describes it as "bacterial SSU rRNA". It matches the Rfam family "Bacterial small subunit ribosomal RNA", at positions 56 to 702 of the family's 1533-position model. The record is from RNAcentral.